UCCAAUCGAACUCGGAGAUAGCUGGUUCUCCCCGAAAUAGCUUUAGGGCUAGCGUCGGAUAUGUGUAGUGGAGGUAGAGCACUGAAUGGGCUAGGGGGCAUAUCGCUUACCGAACCUUAUCAAACUCCGAAUGCCAUAUACAUUUAGUCCGGCAGUCAGACUACGAAUGAUAAGAUCCGUGGUCAAAAGGGAAACAGCCCAGAUCGUCAGCUAAGGUCCCAAAGUGUAAGUUAAGUGGAAAAGGAUGUGGGAUUUCUAAGACAACUAGGAUGUUGGCUUAGAAGCAGCCACUCAUUUAAAGAGUGCGUAAUAGCUCACUAGUCGAGAGAUCCUGCGCCGAAAAUGUCCGGGGCUCAAACUUACCACCGAAGCUACGGGCUUGCGUAAGCAAGCGGUAGGGGAGCGUCGUAAUCGGGCUGAAGUCGUACCGUAAGGAGCGGUGGACUGAUUACGAGUGAGAAUGUUGGCAUUAGUAGCGAGAUGUAGGUGAGAAUCCUACAGGCCGAAUAUCUAAGGUUUCCUCAGGAAGGCUCGUCCGCUGAGGGUUAGUCGGGACCUAAGCCGAGGCCGAAAGGCGUAGGCGAUGGACAAUCGGUUGAUAUUCCGAUACCACUACCAUCGUUAUUAUCGAGGGUGUGACGGAGAAGGAUAGUGUGUGCUAGCGAUUGGAAAUGCUAGUCUAAGCGUUUAGGGAGUUACGGUAGGCAAAUCCGCUGUAACAAUUCUGAGGCGUGAUGGGGAAGGCCAUAUAGGCCGAAGUACAUGAUUCCAUGCUUCCAAGAAAAGCAUCUAGAGAGAGAAGUAGUGCCCGUACCGCAAACCGACACAGGUAGAUGAGGAGAGAAUCCUAAGGCCGGCGGAAGAAUUGCAGUUAAGGAACUAGGCAAAUUGACCCCGUAAGUUCGCGAGAAGGGGUGCCUGCGAGAGCAGGCCGCAGAGAAUAGGCCCAAGCAACUGUUUAGCAAAAACACAGGUCUCUGCUAAAGCGUAAGCUGAUGUAUAGGGGCUGACGCCUGCCCGGUGCUGGAAGGUUAAGGGGAACACUUAGCGCAAGCGAAGGUGUGAACUUAAGCCCCAGUAAACGGCGGCCGUAACUAUAACGGUCCUAAGGUAGCGAAAUUCCUUGUCAGGUAAGUUCUGACCCGCACGAAUGGCGUAAUGACUUGGGCACUGUCUCAACUGCAAAUCCGGCGAAGUUGUAGUGCGAGUGAAGAUGCUCGCUACCCGCGAUUGGACGGAAAGACCCCGUAGAGCUUUACUGUAGCUUAGCAUUGAAUUCCGGUAUUGUCUGUACAGGAUAGGUGGGAGACUGGGAAACUAGGGCGUCAGCCUUAGUGGAGUCAACCUUGGGAUACCACCCUGACAGUACUGGGGUUCUAACAGGACGCCAUGAAUCUGGUGACUGGACAUUGUUAGGUGGGCAGUUUGACUGGGGCGGUCGCCUCCUAAAAAGUAACGGAGGCGCCCAAAGGUUCCCUCAGAACGGUCGGAAAUCGUUCGUAGAGUGCAAAGGCAGAAGGGAGCCUGACUGCGAGACAUACAAGUCGAGCAGGGACGAAAGUCGGGCUUAGUGAUCCGGUGGUACCUCGUGGGAGGGCCAUCGCUCAACGGAUAAAAGCUACCUCGGGGAUAACAGGCUGAUCUCCCCCAAGAGUCCACAUCGACGGGGAGGUUUGGCACCUCGAUGUCGGCUCGUCGCAUCCUGGGGCUGUAGUAGGUCCCAAGGGUUGGGCUGUUCGCCCAUUAAAGCGGCACGCGAGCUGGGUUCAGAACGUCGUGAGACAGUUCGGUCCCUAUCCGUCGCGGGCGUAGGAAAUUUGAGAGGAGCUGUCCUUAGUACGAGAGGACCGGGAUGGACUGACCUCUGGUGCACCAGUUGUUCCGCCAGGAGCAUGGCUGGGUAGCUAAGUCGGGAAGGGAUAAACGCUGAAAGCAUCUAAGCGUGAAGCCUCCCUCAAGAUGAGAUUUCCCAUAGCAUAAGCUAGUAAGACCCCUUGAAGAACACAAGGUUGAUAGGUCAGAGGUGUAAGUGUGGUAACAUAUUUAGCUGACUGAUACUAAUAGGUCGAGGGCUUGACCAA
RNAcentral lists this ribosomal RNA (2081 nucleotides) under human gut metagenome. RNAcentral describes it as "bacterial LSU rRNA". It matches the Rfam family "Bacterial large subunit ribosomal RNA", at positions 828 to 2925 of the family's 2925-position model. The record is from RNAcentral.